Long non-coding RNA from Oncorhynchus keta (chum salmon), 834 nucleotides. RefSeq lists it as uncharacterized. The transcript has 6 exons. Lineage: Eukaryota; Metazoa; Chordata; Actinopteri; Salmoniformes; Salmonidae. The record is from RefSeq and is a predicted model, not a curated record.
UUUCAAUGGAUGUUCAACUGUAAAAGGUUAUGGGAGGAGUAUGUUUCCUUUUUAGUCGUGACUUGCAACAUACACCUAGUUUCCUGAAUCGGGUCACACAUGCUGAGCACUUGUUGGCUGCUUUUCCUUCACUCUGAGGUCCAACUCCUCCCAAACCAUCUCAAUUGGGUUGAGGUCUUAGGAAUGUGGAGGCCAGAUCAUCUGAUGCAGCACUCCAUCGCUCUCCUUCUUAGUCAAAUAGCCCUUACACAGCCUGGAGUGGCCUGAGAAGAUCUUUACCUGUGAGAGAGGACUCCUCUGCUAGCAACGCCAGUCAGCUAGCUGUGGGGAUGCAUGACGGCAGAAUUAGCCACCUACAACGUCGAGACCAGAGAGAAGACACCCGUCAUUGACAGCAGACGUAACAAAGCUGGUAGAACUGGAAUCUGUGAAAGUGCUACAGGAAACCUGCGUAUUGACUAUAAAACGCCAACCCUGCACGGGAGGUUCACUGCAUUUUGACUGUGCCCACAAACAUUCUAGCCCAGUUUGGCAGGUGAGGUGGAUAGACCAUGUGAGGGGUCCGUCAGGGGAGGGAGGACAAGGGAGAGACUCUGUAGAUCAGCAGGAUAAGCAAGUGGUUCCUGUGGAAAUGCCUUGACUGCAUAGCUGAAGAGGACGAGGAAUGAGAAAGCCAAUAAGCAAGCUGGAGAAAAAGAGAAGAAGAGCGAGGCAUGAUAUCACGCCAGGCGCCGGGAAUCUGUUUCGACUUCCAUCCUACGGUGAGCAUGUUCUUACGUUUUCCUAAAAGAUAGUUACACAUGCAUUGCUUUAGUUAUUUAGCUAGGCCUUCAA